This 639-nucleotide long non-coding RNA is filed under the name Hordeum vulgare. Its description in RNAcentral is "long non-coding RNA (HVUL_LNC009856)". The record is from RNAcentral. Lineage: Eukaryota; Viridiplantae; Streptophyta; Magnoliopsida; Poales; Poaceae.
CCAUGACAUAAAACAAACCAUCAUGGAUGGGGUGGAGCAAAGAAGAACACCACAACAUCAACUAAGCACUCACAAACAUCAAAAUGACAAAAACUACACAAUCUGCCAUAAACUGCAUCAUAGCACUUUGUGGGCUACAUGCAAAGCCACUACAGCCACUCAACUAUGACAAAUAAUAUAUGUGGCUGUAGCUAGCCAAGAACACUACAAGCACAAGCAAGAAUCACACAAAAAGGAAUUAAACACAGAAAUUUACAAGGCUGCAAACUUGCCCAAAAACAUCAGUUUUUAGGGACUUCGUGAAAAUUCCAGAUUCUCACUUUCUGUCUAUGCUCUGAAGCAUUUUGACAGAAGCAAAAACAAUACCGUCAGGGCUGCAAAUGAAAUGAAAUUUUAUAGGCAGCUAGGCAACCAUAUCAGGUCCAACUUUCUAGUGGAAAGCUAAGGCUAGAUCACAACACAGUGACCAGCACAACCUCAUCAACAGGAGAAGAAAAUGUAAACAGAUUCUCACACUUUCACUAAUCUGGAAUUUCAGCCACAUGCCUAAUUUGAGCGGGCAUAACUUGCAGAUAUGGAAUCCUAAUCAUGAGAUGAGACCAACAAGAGGUAGAGGGGGCACCCUCUACUAGCACAACC